Molecule: transfer RNA, 72 nt
Filed under: Bos taurus (domestic cattle)
Lineage: Eukaryota; Metazoa; Chordata; Mammalia; Artiodactyla; Bovidae
Also listed under: 6 other names
Rfam family: tRNA
About the family: Transfer RNA (tRNA) molecules are approximately 80 nucleotides in length. Their secondary structure includes four short double-helical elements and three loops (D, anti-codon, and T loops).
Source: Rfam by way of RNAcentral
UCCCUGGUGGCUCAGAGGGUAAAGCGUCUGCCUGCAAUGCAGGAGACCCGGGUUCGAUCCCUGGGUCGGGAA